GCCCGAAAAUGCAUUCGCGGUGACAUCACUGCCUUUCCCACAGAGCCAUUGACACGGGAGGCCACAGUGCCCAUUCACUGCCCCAAAGCCGCUCUCCAGGCCCCGGGAGCCACCUCCCUCUUCCUGAAUGCCGUUUUUGUUGGGAAACAGUGGAGCGUUUCUGAAGGCCUGCAUAAAUGACUGAGUAAUUCACUGCAGUUGCCAGGAAGUCUGAGCCACUUGUGAGCCAACAAUAGUGAACUUUAUCUCCCGCCCCAAGCUGGAAGUUCCAGCUGUAGGUCCCGAAUUCUAAUGAGGGCCCUACUCAUGCCUCUGAGGUUAUGGUGAUAUUUUACCCAUCUUUUCUUUUUCUUUUUCUUUUUUAACCAAGACACUGUUAUUGCUGCUACUGAGAACCGGAGGUGAGUCCUGAGGGCUGCGGUGAGCUGGGGGCGUGUGUGUGAAUGAAAAUCAGAGGAAGGAAGGCAGAGGAUGGUUUUCCUGGUAGCUUGACGGGUUUGCUAUUUCAUAGGAGACUGAACUGACCUAGAAGAGUGAAAAGAAAGACUUCACUCUGACCCGUAAAUCCCUGAACCAGAACGAUAACUUUAGGAAAUUUUCCAUGUUUUAAACACUGCUUCUCUUGUCUUUUUUUUUUUUUUCAGCUGAAAACUCGGCAGCCAAGGCUGGUGAUGUGCUUGGCAUGAGCAUGGGGCCGUUAGUUCCCUGGUGUAUAGGGAAAUGCCUGGCUCACUGCUUAGCAAUCGCCUAUCUCAGGCCAAUUCUGCCUUAAAAGCUGGUUCUCAGCUAGCUGAACUAGAAGUCAACGCGCCACCUUGUCGGCCCAAGGACACACCCUAAAGUGCCAGCAGAGAAGGUCAAGAAUUCUAAUCCCCUGGGUGACCCCAGAAGGAAGGAUUCUAGUGGCUGGUCACUGUGAUGACAGACAGACACUAUGAAGAACUUCCCAUGUGGGCUCUCAUACCCAUGGCCCCAGUUGCUCUCCAGGAUGUCCCUCAGAGGUGACUAGCAUUUCAACCACACCUACACCAGUGUCUGGGGACCCACUGUGGCCUUUGUAGGUGGCAGAGGUCUGUUUCUCCAGCUCCUAAGGUCUGUUUCAGGUUUCUCAUGAUCUUCUUGAAUAGGAGCCCCUCAUCAAGAUCAGAGGUCUCCUGAGGGUGGGGUGGGGGACGGCAUGUGCCUGACAGCUUGACCUCCUUGUCCAUCCUUCCAUGAAAAUAUACCAAAUAAAACAUCAGGAGUCAUGCGUUCA
This 1255-nucleotide long non-coding RNA is filed under the name Marmota monax (woodchuck). The record is from RNAcentral. Lineage: Eukaryota; Metazoa; Chordata; Mammalia; Rodentia; Sciuridae.